Molecule: unclassified non-coding RNA, 232 nt
Filed under: Hevea brasiliensis (rubber tree)
Lineage: Eukaryota; Viridiplantae; Streptophyta; Magnoliopsida; Malpighiales; Euphorbiaceae
Source: RNAcentral
GGAUACUCAUACUAAAAUUUGAUAGUGCUUUAUAUUUCAAAGCCAAUAAAUAAUGCACUCAACCACUUUAAGUGGUAUGCACUAUACAGUCCAAAUAAAACUGACAAAAUCUAUUUUAUACACAUAUUGACCAUUUAUCAUUUGUGUGUGUGCAUGAUUGGUAAACACAGACAAGGGGAAAAAGUGAGCACCAUAAAUCAUAAUGAUUACCUUGGGGCUAGAUCACAAAGUU